UUCCAGGGGAAGGUUUGUCCGCCCUGGGGAAGUCGGGACCUAAGCAUAAGCAAAACUGUGAUGGCGAAUGGAAAACAGGUUAAUAUUCCUGUACCACUAUUAUCGCCCGAGAGACGGAGUGACGCAGGAAGGUAUGUGGGAAGGCUGACGGAAUAGCCUUUCCAAGGGCGCAGCAUGGACACGCAGGCAAAUCCGCGUGUCUAAAUGUGAGACCUGACGGGGAAGUGCAUUGGCAUAAGCCACAGAUCCUACACUGCCGAGAAAAACUUCUAUCGAUGAGAAAUAGUGCCCGUACUGUAAACCGACACAGGUGGACAGAGUGAGAAACUUAAGGCCGACAGGAUAACUCUAGCUAAGGAACUCUGCAAAAUAGCCCCGUAACUUCGGGAGAAGGGGUGCCUGACAUACCUGAGGGGAGAGACACCUCAAGGGGAAACAGGCCGCAGUGAAGAGUCCCAAGCAACUGUUUACCAAAAACACAGGUCUAUGCUAAGCCGGAAGGCGACGUAUAUGGGCUGACACCUGCCCAGUGCCGGAAGGUUAAGAGGAGGAUUGAGAGAUCCGAUUUGAAGCCCCGGUGAACGGCGGCCGUAACUAUAACGGUCCUAAGGUAGCGAAAUUCCUUGUCGGGUAAGUUCCGACCUGCACGAAUGGUGAAAUGAUUUGGGAGCUGUCUUGGCUGGAGACCUGGUGAAGUUGUAAUGCCGGUGAAGAUACCGGCUACCUGCAGUAGGACGGAAAGACCCCGUGGAGCUUUACUGCAGUCUGGCAUUGGGUUCUGGCUGUGUGUGUAUAGGAUAGUUGGGAGACUGUGAGGCCAAGGCGUCAGUCUUGGCAGAGUCGCCGUUGGAAUACCAACCAUAUGCCGCCGGAAUUCUAAUCUGGUGACGGAGACAGUGCUAGAUGGGCAGUUUGACUGGGGCGGUCGCCUCCAAAAGAGUAACGGAGGCGUUCAAAGGUUCCCUCAGGCUGGAUGGAAAUCAGCCUAGGAGUGCAAACGCAUAAGGGAGCUUGACUGCAAGACUGACAGGUCGAGCAGGCACGAAAGUGGGAGUUAGUGAUCCGGCGGUUCCGUAUGGAAGGACCGUCGCUCAACGGAUAAAAGCUACCCCGGGGAUAACAGGCUGAUACUUCCCAAGAGUCCAUAUCGACGGAAGUGUUUGGCACCUCGAUGUCGGCUCGUCUCAUCCUGGGGCUGGAGAAGGUCCCAAGGGUUGGGCUGUUCGCCCAUUAAAGAGGCACGCGAGCUGGGUUCAGAACGUCGUGAGACAGUUCGGUCCCUAUCCACUGCAGGCGCCUGAAUACUGAAAAGUUCUGACCUUAGUACGAGAGGACCGGGUUGGACAGACCUCUGAUGUACCAGUUGUCACGCCAGUGGCAUGGCUGGGUAGUCACGUCUGGAACGGAUAACCGCUGAAAGCAUCUAAGCGGGAAGCCGGCUUUGAGAUGAGUGUUCGCAGUAUCCAUGGAGAACACAUGGCUGAUAGGCCAGGGGUGUAAGUGCAGCAAUGCAUUCAGCUGACUGGUACUAAUAUUACAUCCGCUUUUUAAU
RNAcentral lists this ribosomal RNA (1552 nucleotides) under human oral metagenome. RNAcentral describes it as "bacterial LSU rRNA". It matches the Rfam family "Bacterial large subunit ribosomal RNA", at positions 1352 to 2925 of the family's 2925-position model. The record is from RNAcentral.